AUAAAUGUGAGUUUUUACUUACAAAUAGUACUAUGCAAAUUAAUGAUUUUAUUUUUAUAAUAUUGGGAGGC
This 71-nucleotide transfer RNA is filed under the name Gomphidia confluens. RNAcentral describes it as "tRNA-Val". The record is from RNAcentral. Lineage: Eukaryota; Metazoa; Arthropoda; Insecta; Odonata; Gomphidae.